This 254-nucleotide ribosomal RNA is filed under the name uncultured bacterium. Its description in RNAcentral is "partial 16S ribosomal RNA". It matches the Rfam family "Bacterial small subunit ribosomal RNA", at positions 524 to 776 of the family's 1533-position model. The record is from RNAcentral.
UACGAAGGGGGGCUAGCGUUGCUCGGAAUCACUGGGCGUAAAGGGCGCGUAGGCGGCCAUUCAAGUCGGGGGUGAAAGCCUGUGGCUCAACCACAGAAUUGCCUUCGAUACUGUUUGGCUUGAGUAUGGUAGAGGUUGGUGGAACUGCGAGUGUAGAGGUGAAAUUCGUAGAUAUUCGCAAGAACACCGGUGGCGAAGGCGGCCAACUGGACCAUUACUGACGCUGAGGCGCGAAAGCGUGGGGAGCAAACAGG